AAUGAGAUGCCUGACAAAAGGGCUACUUUGAUAGGGUAGAUCAUGUAGGCCUCCUACUCUCAUUG
RNAcentral lists this transfer RNA (65 nucleotides) under unidentified. Its description in RNAcentral is "Epeorus sp. 01 ZXM-2022a tRNA-Ile". The record is from RNAcentral.